GAUGAACGCUGGCGGCGUGCCUAAUACAUGCCAGUCGAGCGAACAGACGAGGAGCUUGCUCCUCUGACGUUAGCGGCGGACGGGUGAGUAACACGUGUAUAACCUCCCUAUAAGACUGGGAUAACUUCGGGAAACCGGCGCUAAUACCGGAUAAUAUAUUGAACCGCAUGGUUCAAUAGUGAAAGACGGUUUUGCUGUCACUUAUAGAUGGAUCCGCGCCGCAUUAGCUAGUUGGUAAGGUAACGGCUUACCAAGGCAACGAUGCGUAGCCGACCUGAGAGGGUGAUCGGCCACACUGGAACUGAGACACGGUCCAGACUCCUACGGGAGGCAGCAGUAGGGAAUCUUCCGCAAUGGGCGAAAGCUUGACGGAGCAACGCCGCGUGAGUGAUGAAGGUCUUCGGAUCGUAAAACUCUGUUAUUAGGGAAGAACAAAUGUGUAAGUAACUAUGCACGUCUUGACGGUACCUAAUCAGAAAGCCACGGCUAACUACGUG
This 497-nucleotide ribosomal RNA is filed under the name uncultured bacterium. RNAcentral describes it as "partial 16S ribosomal RNA". It matches the Rfam family "Bacterial small subunit ribosomal RNA", at positions 28 to 507 of the family's 1533-position model. The record is from RNAcentral.